CCUACGGGGGGCGGCAGUGAGGAAUAUUGCACAAUGGGGGCAACCCUGAUGCAGCAACGCCGCGUGUACGAAGAAUCAGAUUACUGUGUAAAGUACUGUUAGAAGGGACGAAAUAUUUGAUUAGGAGUCAAAUUUGCCGGUACCUUCUAAGAAAGCUCCGGCUAACUCCGUGCCAGCAGCCGCGGUAAUACGGGGGGAGCAAGCGUUGUCCGGAAUCAUUGGGCGUAAAGGGCAUGUAGGUUGUAAUUUAAGUCAGUUUUUAAAUGUCACGGCUUAACCGUGGACUGGAAUUGAAACUGGAUUACUUGAGUAUGAGAGGGGACAGAGGAAUACCUAGUGUAGCGGUGGAAUGCGUAGAUAUUAGGUAGAACACCCGAGGCGAAGGCGUCUGUCUGGCUCAUUACUGACACUGAAAUGCGAAAGCAUGGGUAGCGAACAGGAUUAGAUACCCUGGUAGUCCAUGCCGUAAACGAUGGAUACUAGGUGUCGGGGGACUAGCCCCCUCGGUGCCGUAGCUAACGCGUUAAGUAUCCCGCCUGGGGAGUACGAUCGCAAGGUUGAAACUCAAAGGAAUUGACG
RNAcentral lists this ribosomal RNA (579 nucleotides) under uncultured bacterium. RNAcentral's name for it is "bacterial SSU rRNA". It matches the Rfam family "Bacterial small subunit ribosomal RNA", at positions 338 to 915 of the family's 1533-position model. The record is from RNAcentral.